UACCAGCACCCCGAGUGGUCGGGACGAUUAUUGGGCCUAAAGCAUCCGUAGCCGGUCCUGCAAGUCUUCCGUUAAAUCCAGCUGCUCAACAGAUGGGCUGCGGGGGAUACUACAGGGCUAGGAGGCGGGAGAGGCAAGCGGUACUUUAUGGGUAGGGGUAAAAUCCGUUGAUCCAUAGAAGACCACCAGUGGCGAAGGCGGCUUGCCAGAACGCGCUCGACGAG
RNAcentral lists this ribosomal RNA (224 nucleotides) under uncultured bacterium. RNAcentral describes it as "partial 16S ribosomal RNA". It matches the Rfam family "Archaeal small subunit ribosomal RNA", at positions 474 to 697 of the family's 1478-position model. The record is from RNAcentral.